GGGGAUUUAGCUCAGUGGUAGAGUACUUGCCUAGCAAGUGCAAGGCCCUGGGUUCGGUCCCCAGCUCCG
Molecule: non-coding RNA, 69 nt
Organism: Rattus norvegicus (Norway rat)
Lineage: Eukaryota; Metazoa; Chordata; Mammalia; Rodentia; Muridae
Source: Rfam